GGUUAGCUCAGUGGUAGAGCACUACCUUGGCACGGUGGGUGUUCAUGAACGUUGCAACAACGGGCAAUUCAGCCCGUAGGCACCA
This 85-nucleotide transfer RNA is filed under the name Roseimicrobium sp. ORNL1. RNAcentral's name for it is "tRNA-Ala". Lineage: Bacteria; Pseudomonadati; Verrucomicrobiota; Verrucomicrobiia; Verrucomicrobiales; Verrucomicrobiaceae. The record is from RNAcentral.